RNAcentral lists this ribosomal RNA (2776 nucleotides) under Pseudomonas amygdali pv. tabaci. RNAcentral describes it as "bacterial LSU rRNA". It matches the Rfam family "Bacterial large subunit ribosomal RNA". Lineage: Bacteria; Pseudomonadati; Pseudomonadota; Gammaproteobacteria; Pseudomonadales; Pseudomonadaceae. RNAcentral also lists the same sequence under 3 other names. The record is from RNAcentral.
AGCGCAUACGGUGGAUGCCUUGGCAGUCAGAGGCGAUGAAAGACGUGGUAGCCUGCGAAAAGCUUCGGGGAGUCGGCAAACAGACUGUGAUCCGGAGAUGUCUGAAUGGGGGAACCCAGCCAUCAUAAGAUGGUUAUCUUGUACUGAAUACAUAGGUGCAAGAGGCGAACCAGGGGAACUGAAACAUCUAAGUACCCUGAGGAAAAGAAAUCAACCGAGAUUCCCUUAGUAGUGGCGAGCGAACGGGGACCAGCCCUUAAGUUGUAUUGAGAUUAGCGGAACGUUCUGGAAAGGACGGCCAUAGUGGGUGAUAGCCCUGUACGCGAAAAUCCCUUUGCAAUGAAAUCGAGUAGGACGGGGCACGAGAAACCUUGUCUGAAUAUGGGGGGACCAUCCUCCAAGGCUAAAUACUACUGACUGACCGAUAGUGAACCAGUACCGUGAGGGAAAGGCGAAAAGAACCGCGGAGAGCGGAGUGAAAUAGAUCCUGAAACCGUAUGCGUACAAGCAGUGGGAGCCCACUUUGUUGGGUGACUGCGUACCUUUUGUAUAAUGGGUCAGCGACUUAUUUUCAGUGGCGAGCUUAACCGAAUAGGGGAGGCGUAGCGAAAGCGAGUCUUAAUAGGGCGUCUAGUCGCUGGGAAUAGACCCGAAACCGGGCGAUCUAUCCAUGGGCAGGUUGAAGGUUGGGUAACACUAACUGGAGGACCGAACCGACUACCGUUGAAAAGUUAGCGGAUGACCUGUGGAUCGGAGUGAAAGGCUAAUCAAGCUCGGAGAUAGCUGGUUCUCCUCGAAAGCUAUUUAGGUAGCGCCUCAUGUAUCACUGUAGGGGGUAGAGCACUGUUUCGGCUAGGGGGUCAUCCCGACUUACCAAACCGAUGCAAACUCCGAAUACCUACAAGUGCCGAGCAUGGGAGACACACGGCGGGUGCUAACGUCCGUCGUGAAAAGGGAAACAACCCAGACCGUCAGCUAAGGUCCCAAAGUCAUGGUUAAGUGGGAAACGAUGUGGGAAGGCUUAGACAGCUAGGAGGUUGGCUUAGAAGCAGCCACCCUUUAAAGAAAGCGUAAUAGCUCACUAGUCGAGUCGGCCUGCGCGGAAGAUGUAACGGGGCUCAAACCAUGCACCGAAGCUACGGGUAUCAUCUUUUGAUGAUGCGGUAGAGGAGCGUUCUGUAAGCCUGUGAAGGUGAGUUGAGAAGCUUGCUGGAGGUAUCAGAAGUGCGAAUGCUGACAUGAGUAACGACAAUGGGUGUGAAAAACACCCACGCCGAAAGACCAAGGUUUCCUGCGCAACGUUAAUCGACGCAGGGUUAGUCGGUCCCUAAGGCGAGGCUGAAAAGCGUAGUCGAUGGAAAACAGGUUAAUAUUCCUGUACUUCUGGUUAUUGCGAUGGAGGGACGGAGAAGGCUAGGCCAGCCUGGCGUUGGUUGUCCAGGUUUAAGGUGGUAGGCUGAGAUCUUAGGUAAAUCCGGGAUCUCAAGGCCGAGAGCUGAUGACGAGUGUUCUUUAGAACACGAAGUGGUUGAUGCCAUGCUUCCAAGAAAAGCUUCUAAGCUUCAGGUAACCAGGAACCGUACCCCAAACCGACACAGGUGGUUGGGUAGAGAAUACCAAGGCGCUUGAGAGAACUCGGGUGAAGGAACUAGGCAAAAUGGCACCGUAACUUCGGGAGAAGGUGCGCCGGUGAGGGUGAAGCAUUUACUGCGUAAGCCCACGCCGGUCGAAGAUACCAGGCCGCUGCGACUGUUUAUUAAAAACACAGCACUCUGCAAACACGAAAGUGGACGUAUAGGGUGUGACGCCUGCCCGGUGCCGGAAGGUUAAUUGAUGGGGUUAGCGCAAGCGAAGCUCUUGAUCGAAGCCCCGGUAAACGGCGGCCGUAACUAUAACGGUCCUAAGGUAGCGAAAUUCCUUGUCGGGUAAGUUCCGACCUGCACGAAUGGCGUAACGAUGGCGGCGCUGUCUCCACCCGAGACUCAGUGAAAUUGAAAUCGCUGUGAAGAUGCAGUGUAUCCGCGGCUAGACGGAAAGACCCCGUGAACCUUUACUAUAGCUUUGCACUGGACUUUGAAUUUGCUUGUGUAGGAUAGGUGGGAGGCUUUGAAGCGUGGACGCCAGUCUGCGUGGAGCCAACCUUGAAAUACCACCCUGGCAACUUUGAGGUUCUAACUCAGGUCCGUUAUCCGGAUCGAGGACAGUGUAUGGUGGGUAGUUUGACUGGGGCGGUCUCCUCCUAAAGAGUAACGGAGGAGUACGAAGGUGCGCUCAGACCGGUCGGAAAUCGGUCGUAGAGUAUAAAGGCAAAAGCGCGCUUGACUGCGAGACAGACACGUCGAGCAGGUACGAAAGUAGGUCUUAGUGAUCCGGUGGUUCUGUAUGGAAGGGCCAUCGCUCAACGGAUAAAAGGUACUCCGGGGAUAACAGGCUGAUACCGCCCAAGAGUUCAUAUCGACGGCGGUGUUUGGCACCUCGAUGUCGGCUCAUCACAUCCUGGGGCUGAAGCCGGUCCCAAGGGUAUGGCUGUUCGCCAUUUAAAGUGGUACGCGAGCUGGGUUUAGAACGUCGUGAGACAGUUCGGUCCCUAUCUGCCGUGGACGUUUGAGAUUUGAGAGGGGCUGCUCCUAGUACGAGAGGACCGGAGUGGACGAACCUCUGGUGUUCCGGUUGUCACGCCAGUGGCAUUGCCGGGUAGCUAUGUUCGGAAAAGAUAACCGCUGAAAGCAUCUAAGCGGGAAACUUGCCUCAAGAUGAGAUCUCACUGGAACCUUGA